ACACCACUUAAGCUCAGCUUAGUGUUGGGAAUCUACGCGGGGGCAGCUACCCGGGACUUACCCUGUAGCUACCCUGUAGUUCCUCAAAGAUAGCGGCGGAGUUGUGAUAAACCUCUGAGCUUAGUAGUAAUAUUCUAGCUUUCGAGUAGUCACUUCCCUUGCCGUUAAACACCCUUCUUUCUGAAU
This 186-nucleotide unclassified non-coding RNA is filed under the name uncultured Xylariales. RNAcentral describes it as "sequence contains ITS2". RNAcentral also lists the same sequence under 1 other name. The record is from RNAcentral. Lineage: Eukaryota; Fungi; Ascomycota; Sordariomycetes; Xylariales.